RNAcentral lists this small nuclear RNA (104 nucleotides) under Tupaia belangeri (northern tree shrew). The record is from RNAcentral. Lineage: Eukaryota; Metazoa; Chordata; Mammalia; Scandentia; Tupaiidae.
UUGCUCGCUUCGGCAGCAUGUAUACUAAAAUCAGAACAAUGCAGAGAUUAGCAUGGCCCCGGCCCAAGGAUGACAUGCAAAUUCAUGAAGCAUUCCACAUUUUU